Molecule: ribosomal RNA, 550 nt
Filed under: uncultured bacterium
Lineage: Bacteria
Description: partial 16S ribosomal RNA
Rfam family: Bacterial small subunit ribosomal RNA
Source: RNAcentral
UGGGGAAUAUUGCACAAUGGGGGGAACCCUGAUGCAGCCAUGCCGCGUGAAUGCAGAAGGCCUUCGGGUUGUAAAGUUCUUUCGGUGACGAGGAAGGUUGAUAGGUUAAUAGCCUAUCAAAUUGACGUUAAUCACAGAAGAAGCACCGGCUAACUCCGUGCCAGCAGCCGCGGUAAUACGGGGGGUGCGAGCGUUAAUCGGAAUAACUGGGCGUAAAGGGCACGCAGGCGGUGACUUAAGUGAGAUGUGAAAGCCCCGAGCUUAACUUGGGAAUUGCAUUUCAUACUGGGUCGCUAGAGUACUUUAGGGAGGGGUAGAAUUCCACGUGUAGCGGUGAAAUGCGUAGAGAUGUGGAGGAAUACCGAAGGCGAAGGCAGCCCCUUGGGAAUGUACUGACGCUCAUGUGCGAAAGCGUGGGGAGCAAACANGAUUUAGAUACCCUGGUAGUCCACGCUGUAAACGAUGUCGANUUGGGGAUUGGGCUUUGAGCUUGGUGCCCGUAGCUAACGUGANNNAUCGACCCGCCCUGGGGGAGUACGNNCNNNNNGUU